This 640-nucleotide long non-coding RNA is filed under the name Olea europaea subsp. europaea. The record is from RNAcentral. Lineage: Eukaryota; Viridiplantae; Streptophyta; Magnoliopsida; Lamiales; Oleaceae.
AAACUAGACAUGAAACAAAUUAAUUCUUGUGCCUUUGAUCAUCUUGAUUCAAUUUUGAAUUCAUUGAUUCCAAUUCUACCAAAAAAAAAAAAAAAAGUUGAUUCAGUUGACAACAAAAUACAUAGAUAUAAAGUCAAAAUAACAAAAUUUAUGAAAAAAAUACAUAUUACCUUCAUCUAACUGGUUGUAAUGCUCAACAUCUUCCAUGUGGAAACCAUCUAACUAUGGAGAAGCUUUCAACCAAUUUUGUGUGCAUACCAAGACUUCCACCAUUUUAGGACUUAAUGAAUUACGAAAAGGAUCAAGUAUCCUUCCUCCGAUGCUAAAAGCACUUUCUGAAGUAACCGUUGAAACUUGAAUUGCCAACACAUCCUUAGCAAGAUUAGACAAGACACCGUACUUACUUUUGUUAAACUUCCACCAAUUGAGAACAUCAAAGUCCUUGUUCUCUAUGCUUUCACGAGCAUCAAGUAAGUAUCUUUCCACAACAUUUUUUAUUUCAGCAUAAUCUUUUACAAAUUGUUUUUUCAAAAAUCUAGAAAGACGAGCAUCACUCAUAGAAGAAGAACUAUCUUUAUUUGUACCGAAAGAAGUCAAAGACUCGUUAGUUGAUACUUGACUACUUCCAUGAACACCUUCA